This 1194-nucleotide long non-coding RNA is filed under the name Canis lupus familiaris (dog). RNAcentral's name for it is "lncRNA (ENSCAFG00000050884.1)". The record is from RNAcentral. Lineage: Eukaryota; Metazoa; Chordata; Mammalia; Carnivora; Canidae.
GAGUUUGGGGAGGUGCUAAGUCAUAUCAAAUGCCUCUCAGAAGUUCCAAGCCACUCUUCCAAAAUAAUCCACCUGCCAGAUGUUGGGGGAUGGGAGCUCCCUGAAGCUGAAAUUUAUGAAUUGGUGCUGGGCAGAGUUGAUGGCUCUUUUUCCCCUACCUCCUCACUGCCUCUUCUCUCCUGGUCCUGCAACUGUUAACAGCCCCUUUUAGGAUUAGCUUCUCCUUCUUCGUGCUCUUGCUGCUUAGAACCACAGCUUUCUCUAGAAGGGAUCACAGCAGAGAUCAAAUGGUUCUUUUUAAACAAAUGAGCAAAUGAAGGUCAUAGAAAGUAAAUGACUUUUGAGAGGGAAAUAGGAGCAGAUUGAAUUCAUAUCUAGGGCUCUGAGGCCAUGUCACCAAAGUCACAUCUUCCUUUUUUGUCUGAUCCUGUAGAAGGCCUCCAGAAAUGUAUCUGUGAUUUCUGGCCUCAGGAGUCCCUGGAUGUCUCUUAAUGAUUCCCCAAGGUAGAAAGACAAUGAUGACUUUUCCUUCUAGGUUGAGGGUAUUGACCAACAGAAUGAGGAACCCUAGAAUAGUCAGGCUAAAGUUCUCUCAGGUCAAUAGGCAUAUCAUGACAGUCAUAAUAUUUAUUUGAAUUCAACAAAUGGUAUAUCUAACAUCAUGCUAGGUGCUUCCCUCUGCUUCAUUCUGCUCAUCUAUCAAAUGGAAAUGAUAACGGUAAGAAGCCAUCUGGGGUUUUUGUGAGGCAUAAUACAUUAAUACUUGUAAAACAUUGGGAAGGGUUUCUGGCAUGUGAGUGCUCAGUAAAGAUUUGCUCUUAUUCCUUGAGAUGAAUAGUGAGUCUCUGUCUCUGCCUGUGUGCCUUUACAUGUACAUGCUGAUUGUGGGAGGUUGCCAUGGAGAGGAGGAAGAUAAGGACAUACAUAAUGACAUAUACCACAGGUCACAAAACUGUUUUUCAAAUGGCCACAUAGUAAACAUUUUUGGCUUUGUGGACCACAGCGCCUGUCACAAUUAUUCGACACUGCUGUUGUAGCAUGAAAGCAUCCAUUGACAAUACUUAAAUGAAUGGGCAUGCUGUGUGCCCUAAGAUAUUAUUUAUUGACACUGAAAUUUGAACAUCCUAUAAUUUUCACAUCAUGACACAUUCUUUUUUUGUUGCUUUAGUUAUUUAAAAAAGUAAAAAAAAAAAA